Xanthomonas campestris is the source of this 93-nucleotide non-coding RNA. The record is from Rfam. Lineage: Bacteria; Pseudomonadati; Pseudomonadota; Gammaproteobacteria; Lysobacterales; Lysobacteraceae.
AGCCCUACGGAUGUGCCACAUGGUCUGUUUCCUUGUACAAGUUCGCACGGGUUAGGCGGGGUUGUAGGGCGGCUCCUUCAACCUCGCCGCUUA